AGUCGAACGAUGAAGCCCUUCGGGGUGGAUUAGUGGCGAACGGGUGAGUAACACGUGGGCAAUCUGCCCUGCACUCUGGGACAAGCCCUGGAAACGGGGUCUAAUACCGGAUACGAGCCUCCCGGGCAUCUGGGAGGUUGGAAAGCUCCGGCGGUGCAGGAUGAGCCCGCGGCCUAUCAGCUUGUUGGUGAGGUAACGGCUCACCAAGGCGACGACGGGUAGCCGGCCUGAGAGGGCGACCGGCCACACUGGGACUGAGACACGGCCCAGACUCCUACGGGAGGCAGCAGUGGGGAAUAUUGCACAAUGGGCGAAAGCCUGAUGCAGCGACGCCGCGUGAGGGAUGACGGCCUUCGGGUUGUAAACCUCUUUCAGCAGGGAAGAAGCGAAAGUGACGGUACCUGCAGAAGAAGCGCCGGCUAACUACGUGCCAGCAGCCGCGCGUAAUUCAAAG
RNAcentral lists this ribosomal RNA (454 nucleotides) under Streptomyces sp. EXM-4-2. RNAcentral's name for it is "bacterial SSU rRNA". It matches the Rfam family "Bacterial small subunit ribosomal RNA", at positions 60 to 530 of the family's 1533-position model. Lineage: Bacteria; Bacillati; Actinomycetota; Actinomycetes; Kitasatosporales; Streptomycetaceae. The record is from RNAcentral.